GAUGAGUGCUAGGUGUUAGGGGUUCGAACCCUUAGUGCCGAAGUUAACACAUUAAGCACUCCGCCUGGGGAGUACGGCCGCAAGGCUGAAACUCAAAGGAAUUGACGGGGGCCCGCACAAGCAGUGGAGCAUGUGGUUUAAUUCGAAGCAACGCGAAGAACCUUACCAGGUCUUGACAUCCUCUGAACACUCAGGAGACUGGGUUUUCCCUUCGGGGACAGAGUGACAGGUGGUGCAUGGUUGUCGUCAGCUCGUGUCGUGAGAUGUUGGGUUAAGUCCCGCAACGAGCGCAACCCCUGAUCUUAGUUGCCAGCAUUCAGUUGGGCACUCUAAGGUGACUGCCGGUGAUAAACCGGAGGAAGGUGGGGAUGACGUCAAAUCAUCAUGCCCCUUAUGACCUGGGCUACACACGUGCUACAAUGGAUGGUACAAUGGGUUGCGAAGCCGCGAGGUGAAGCCAAUCCCAUAAAGCCAUUCUCAGUUCGGAUUGCAGGCUGCAACUCGCCUGCAUGAAGCCGGAAUUGCUAGUAAUCGCGGAUCAGAUGCCGCGGUGAAUACGUUCCCGGGCCUUGUACACACCGCCCGUCACACCACGAGAGUUUGUAACACCCGAAGUCGGUGAGGUAACCUUUUGGAGCCAGCCGCCGAAGGUGGGACAGAUGAUUGGGGUG
RNAcentral lists this ribosomal RNA (671 nucleotides) under uncultured bacterium. RNAcentral's name for it is "bacterial SSU rRNA". It matches the Rfam family "Bacterial small subunit ribosomal RNA", at positions 808 to 1482 of the family's 1533-position model. The record is from RNAcentral.